ACAGCUCAAAUUUGAAAUCUGGCCCCCCCGGGGCCCGAGUUGUAAUUUGGAGAGGAUGUUUUCGGGCGGCCGCCGGUCUAAGUCCCUUGGAACAGGGCGUCACAGAGGGUGAGAGUCCCGUACGUGACCGGCCAGGCCCCCUCCGUAAAACUCCUUCGACGAGUCGGGUUGUUUGGGAAUGCAGCCCUAAAUGGGAGGUAAAUUCCUUCUAAAGCUAAAUACCGGCCAGAGACCGAUAGCGCACAAGUAGAGUGAUCGAAAGAUGAAAAGUACUUUGGAAAGAGAGUCAAAAAGCACGUGAAAUUGUUGAAAGGGAAGCGCUUGCGAUCAGUCUCGGCGGCGGCCGUUCGGCCCCUCUUCUGAGCGGCCCACUCGGCCGCCGCCGGGCCAGCAUCAGCCCCGGCGGUCGGACAAAGGCGGGGGGAACGUAGCUCCCCCGGGAGUGUUAUAGCCCCCCGCGCAAUGCGGCCAGCCGGGACUGAGGUCCGCGUCUCGGCUAGGAUGCUGGCGAAAUGGUCGUAAGCGGCCCGUCUUGAAACACGGACCAAGGAGUCUAAAAUUUAUGCGAGUGUUCGGGUGUCAAACCCGUGCGCGCAAUGAAAGUGAACGGAGGUGGGAACCCUCGGGUGCACCAUCGACCGAUCCCGAUGUCAUCGGACGGAUUUGAGUAAGAGCAUAACUUUUGGGACCCGAAAGAUGGUGAACUAUGCCUGAAUAGGGUGAAGCCAGAGGAAACUCUGGUGGAGGCUCGCAGCGGUUCUGACGUGCAAAUCGAUCGUCAAAUUUGGGUAUAGGGGCGAAAGACUAAU
This 809-nucleotide ribosomal RNA is filed under the name Elsinoe tristaniae. Its description in RNAcentral is "eukaryotic LSU rRNA". It matches the Rfam family "Eukaryotic large subunit ribosomal RNA", at positions 104 to 935 of the family's 3401-position model. The record is from RNAcentral. Lineage: Eukaryota; Fungi; Ascomycota; Dothideomycetes; Myriangiales; Elsinoaceae.